Molecule: RNA transcript, 2944 nt
Organism: Daphnia pulex (common water flea)
Lineage: Eukaryota; Metazoa; Arthropoda; Branchiopoda; Diplostraca; Daphniidae
Exons: 6
Source: RefSeq, a predicted model, not a curated record
CUUUCCCUGACGCCAUUACAGUUCCAAAAGUUGAUAGUGUUGGUCGGACGUCGCCUUGAUUCCUGAAAAUUAUCGAAUAUUCCGGAAAAGGAUCAACUGACAAGUGCACUUCAAUCAUUUACAAGACGACUAGGUAAACCUCAACCUCCCCAAAACGGUUUUUUGGAGAAAGAUCGUAAUUAAGACUUUUACGAUUAACGGGGAGACUGAAGCCAUUUUGGCCUCAUUAAACAAAAGAGAAAGGGGCGGGUGUGAAAAAUUUGUAAUGGGUCAAAAAAGCUUGAAUUUCUCUGUUAACAAGUGUAUUCGAGCUCAGUUUAAUUCUGGCCUAUGUCAAGUCACUUAUCAAACAACCCAACCUUCUUGUAAGUUUGUCGAUGCGGAGCGGAGAGAAGAGCCAGGCGUUCAUCAACAACGACGACGGUAUACGACCGAGGAACUUUCCCGUUGGAUCCAGCGCUUUACCAAAGCGAAAAUUGCGUCGCGGAAGCAGCACGACUUGCGACGAGAGGUUUUACUUCACAAUGCCUUUAUUUUCGCCCAGUCUGAGGUCAAAUGCCGACAAGUGGAACGCCAAAAGAGGUGGAAGGAAUUGAAGCCGUUGCUGUUCUUGGAGACGUCAUCCACUUUCGGUGAGCAGGAACCAAACAAAAUGGCGGCCUUCCCCAAAAUGGCGGACGGCGUGCAGCAGCAAAUGGAGACUACUGAAGAAGAAAUGGACAUGGAGAGGCCAUCUACCCCACUUCCUAGCGUGACGGGAGCUACCAAACGUCAUCGUUGCGGUUGCUUGCCUCUAACCAGAUGUGAAUGCGGUAGUGAAGAUUCCAGCAGCAGCAGCAGCCAGGCCAACAAGAAAUUCCGCCCCUCGUCGCUUGAUGAAGAUGAUGAUCUGAAGAGUUUGGACCGUUUCCUUUCGUCUCUACACUGUAAUACGCGUCAAUUGACUGGGAGAACAUCAUCGUCUACCAAAUGUGCCCAACUGAUUGAGACGUUGGUGAUUUCCAGCACCUUUUCAACCUUUCUGAACUGAGAGAACAUGGGACACUUGAUGCUGAUCAGGUAGUUGAUACUCCAUGAUUGAGGUUGGUUGAACAACAGAAAAACCAAAUUGCUCAGCUCCAACAAAAAUCUGCAUAACUAGUGUUGGUUCAUAUUGAAUCAUUGAUUUUAAUAUUGUGGAAACUUUCCAUGUACAAAAUGACUUGCAACUUCUGGUACUCAAUAUAAUGAAUUUUUCCCGUCCUACGGUGAUUGAGCCCUGUGUGAUUGAGACCUUAUCUUCGGGAACAGCCGGAAAUUUCAUCUUUCAAUAUCUCACGUCGUUUAGUGCUCCUGAGCCUUGGCUUCAUCAAAACAAGAGACUGGUCUUUCCGAGAUUUUUCCUAGUCGGACACUUUCUCCCCAUGCCCAUGCAUGUCCAUUGGAGACGCUUCUGAUUCUUAAAAGGUUACGAAGUUCCUGAUGGUCAAAUCCGUUUUUGUUUUUCUCUUUCCUCGCAGUCGUGAAAUUCAUCGCCUGUUUACAGAUCGUCUGGUUACCCCAACCCUGGGUGAGAUUGAUGACUGGGGGAGGGUUAAAAUUCAUGCAUUCUUUCCUUUUGUCAAUUCAGGCCAUAUACCCAGACAUGGGUUCGGGGCCUUCGGGCUAUGAUGGAAUGUUUCUCUCUUCCCAUCCAGUCGGUUCAACAACAUUGCCUUCCAUUCCGUUUUAAACUUAGCCAAAUUGGAAGAUCCUCCGGGUCCAUAUACGUUCUUCACAAUGUUUUGGUUACCUUUUAGUCUAACGGUAAGAUGAUAUUUGGGUUUAUUUGUUCAUGGUCAAAUUCUUGCUCCAGGAAGUCGCUCGGCCGGUUUAGGAUUCCCCGUUUUCUCCCAGAAAAUUCAAGAACUACGCAUUCGUGAAUUUUUCGUUGUAUUGCCAUUGAUCAUUAUUGAAAUGAUCGGAAUAACAAAUUAUUCGUAAUUAGAAACCUUUAUAGGGAAAGGGCAAGGGCAAUAAUUUUUUCCAUUGUUCAAAAAGGAACGUGCCAACUGGCAUUGAAUGUGAUCUUUUAUUCAGGGGAGAUAGCGACCUAUUUCAACGGAAUUGUUGAAGCGAUAAGGUGACUGGUUAUGUUUUGAAACCGCAAUCCUGCUCGGUCUUGCUGAGGCGUGUACUUCAUAGAAGGACAACUGUAUUACGAAGUGACAAUGUUAAAAAUGUUGACGAAUUUUCCCUUGUACGCGCCACCUCAUGACGAAGGUAAAGAAACAAUGAAUGUUGGAAUUUGGGCUAGGCUUCGGAAGUCUUCCUAAUCGAAGGUAAUACAUUGCAAUGCAAAUUUAUUUUUUUGAAAAUCUGUUUCAUACACAAAGAUGAAUCAUUUCGAGGCGAUUCGCCCUAUAUGCUAAUAAGCGUUGGAUAUUUCGGUUCUUCAACUGCUUCUUGAACAAAAAUGGAAAUUCGCAAUACAUCAAACGUGAAAAGAUCUCAACUGAUAUACUAAAAAAUUCUAAUUUUGCAUUCCCUAAUAUAGUUACUGGUUGUAAACCUGCCGAACGAAUUAUGUUUGAUAACAUAUAAAAUUAAGUUACUCUUAUCAGGUUACGCCUUUUGGAAGAUUGGUAAAGGUAUUUAGGACAAUGUUGAUAACUGGCAUGGUUUUUAAAAACAUUCAUUAACUUCUAUUAUCCUACAUAAUUAUUGAUAAAUCUCAGGGUUCGAACUUACAAAACAAAUUCGCUCAACGAUUGGAGGCAGUUUGGGCGGAUAAAUGAGACAAUUCUUGAAUAGAGGUCUGUGGGUAGUUCCAAACCAGCGAGUUAUUCGGGCCCUGGUGGAAAUCUUUAACGAUUUCGUGAUACGGUCUAACUUCAUUGAUCACCUUUGUGUUUCUAAAUCUGUUGAAAAUAAUAAAAUGCACGUGAGUUAUGGAAAUGAAAAGAAAUAAAAAUGUUUCUUUUUA